This 77-nucleotide transfer RNA is filed under the name Thermoproteota archaeon. Its description in RNAcentral is "tRNA-Tyr". It matches the Rfam family "tRNA". Rfam says of the family: Transfer RNA (tRNA) molecules are approximately 80 nucleotides in length. RNAcentral also lists the same sequence under 1 other name. The record is from RNAcentral. Lineage: Archaea; Thermoproteati; Thermoproteota.
CCCAAGAUAGCUCAGCCUGGUAGAGCUUCCGGCUGUAGACCGGGUUGUCGAAGGUUCAAUUCCUUCUCUUGGGACCA